UACGUAGGGGGCAAGCGUUGUCCGGAAUCAUUGGGCGUAAAGAGCGUAUAGGCGGCCAGAAAAGUCCGCUGUGAAAACUCGAGGCUCAACUUCGAGCUGUCGGUGGAAACUUUCUGGCUAGAGUCCGGAAGAGGAGAAUGGAAUUCCUGGUGUAGCGGUGAAAUGCGCAGAUAUCAGGAAGAACACCCGUGGCGAAGGCGGUUCUCUGGGACGGUACUGACGCUGAGACGCGAAAGCGUGGGGAGCGAACAGG
Molecule: ribosomal RNA, 253 nt
Filed under: uncultured bacterium
Lineage: Bacteria
Description: partial 16S ribosomal RNA
Rfam family: Bacterial small subunit ribosomal RNA
Source: RNAcentral